This 6295-nucleotide long non-coding RNA is filed under the name Populus tremula. RNAcentral's name for it is "long non-coding RNA (PTRE_LNC002757)". The record is from RNAcentral. Lineage: Eukaryota; Viridiplantae; Streptophyta; Magnoliopsida; Malpighiales; Salicaceae.
CAAUAUACACACACGAGGUAAUAUAACAAUGAGAAAUAUAUAUACAAGUAUGGCUUUAGUUCUUAUACGAAGGUUUAUCAAAUAGGCCAUAACAAGAAUAUCAUAUGGUAAAACUCGUCAGAAAAUCAAAAUGCAAUGAGCAUGAGGCUCCGUACUGUGGGAUGAUCAGUCCACACAGGUUGGUGACUCCCCCGACCAACUAGGGUUCAGAUACGAUGUGCACAAAGACUAACACUACCCUGUUAGCAUGGGUAUUCUGACUGACAUACCAUAGGUUCAUAAUCAUAAUCAAACAAACAUAUUCAUAUCUCAAAGCUCAACUCAUGACAUCCAUCAAAUGAGGAGCUAUCAAUUCAGAAGUCAAAUCAUAUUGGUUCAUAUCAAGAAAUCAGAUUCAAUAAUUGAUCAUGCUUUAUCAUAUCAAGGAUAAUAAUCAGCAUAUAUAUUAUCAAGAAGCAUGAUCCAAUUCAUAUUAACAAAUCAAAUAUUUAUAAUAUUUCUCAUGCAUAUGGAAAAUUAUCCACUCACCUGACUCAAAAGCAAACAACACACACAAGCUGAAACCGAAGGAAAUUCUACUGACGUCCUGCCGGUAGAAUAUCAGGAUUAUCUGAAUACAAAGGAGACAUAUUCAAAAAGACUCGAAAGAACAUUUAAUCUAUUUAAUACACUUAACUAAGGGUGUAUUCUAACCCUAUAUAUUAUUCAAUUUUCUUAAAAACCCAAAAUCUAACGGUUUUCCCGAAAUCUAAUCCAUAAUAAAAACAACUAAUAAAAUUGGUAAUAAUUCACUAAAUAACCCUUAAUUAUUCAUCAAACUAAUCUGCAAAAGCUAAUAUUACAGCUAGGGACUAAUCUGGAAUUUUUCCAUAUUUUUAGGGCCAAAUUGUAACUUUUGUCAAAUGGAGGACCAAACUGAAAUUUGUCAUAAAUCCAUGAAUAUACUGAAAUUCUGACCUUAAUUAAUCCUCAAUUCUGUCCAGGAUGUAUCAUUAUGCUUCAGGGAUCAUUCUGGAAUUUUACUAAAUUUUUAGGGUCAAAUCGUACUUUUUGUCAAAUUGGAGGACUAAAUUGAAAGUGAAAUUAAAUCUAUACAGUAAUUCUGUCCAUAAUUCAUAUGCUAUUCUGUUCAGAAUCUCGGAAUAUGCUCCAGGGACCAAUUUGUAAUUUUCCAAAGUUCGGGGACUAAACUGUAAUUUUCGGAAAUUGAGGGACCAAAUUGAAUUUUCGUCAUCUUCAACCUCCAGUCCAGAUUUUAACAGAAACCCCACUGUUCUCCCCUGAUUUCUAACUCAAUUUUCACCAUUUACACAAUUCUAUAACUCAAAAUCAUCAUAAUCUUCCAUAAUCAACUAAAUCAUCAAUUAAACACAACAAUCAACCCCUAACCUUCAAUUUAAUUCAUCAAUUUAAAUCAAACACAAAUUCUCAAAACCCUAACAUUCAUAAAAACUGAAAUUAAAGCUUAAUUAACAUAUUAUACACAUUAAACAACCUAAAUCUUACCUUUUUCACUUAUUUCCUCCAAAUCUCUUCCUUUUUCCCUUAUUUUCCCUUCUUUUCUCUUCUUCUUCUUUCUCUCUUCUCUCUCACGGUUCUGCUCUCUAAUUUCAGAUCACUUUCUUUUUUUUUUUUUUUUACUUCCUAUUUAUAUUUAUCAAUUUUUGUUCAAUUACCAUAAUACCCCUUAUUCAUUUAUUCCAACUUUUAAGCCUCAAGGGCUUUGUUGUAAUUCCUAUCUUAUUAAUUUCAAAACAUUACAAUCUCCCCACCUUAUAAAAGUUUCGUCCUCGAAACUUAAUAGAAAAGAUUGAGUACUUACCGAGAUUAUCGAAAAGAUGAGGAUACUCCUCACGCAUCUUAUCCUCGAGCUCCCAUGUCGCUUCCUCACGUGAAUGGCCUUUCCAUUUCACUUUCACUGAAGCUAUGUCCUUCGACCUAAGCUUCCUCACUUGUCGGUCGACUAUAGCUUCCGGUUGCACCUCAUAAACCAUAUCAUCCCUCAAGUCAAUAGGAUGAACCUCUAACACAUGCGAUGGAUCUGACAUAUAUUUCCUUAACAUGGAAACAUGAAAUACCGGAUGAAUAGCAGACAAGUUUGGUGGUAAUGCUAACCGAUAAGCAACUGCCCCAACUCUCUCCAGAAUCUCAUACGGUCCAAUGAAUCGAGGACUCAACUUGCCUUUCUUCCCAAACCUGAAUACUCCUUUUGUAGGUGAUACUUUUAAGAACACACAAUCACCCACUGAAAACUCUAAGUCACGCCUUCUUCUAUCUGCGUAACUUUUAUGUCUACUCUGAGCUGUUUGAAGCUUCUUUCUAAUUACCUCAAUCUUCUCUGAGGUAAUCUGAAUCAACUCCGGUCCCAUUAGCCUCUUCUCACCAACCUCAAACCAACAAACCGGUGAUCUACACUUCCGACCAUACAAAGCCUCAUAAGGUGCCAUCUCUAUGCUAGCCUGAUAACUGUUGUUGUAAGCAAAUUCCACUAAUGGUAGGAACUUACUCCAACCAACUCCAAAAUCCAUAACACAAGCCCUUAACAUAUCCUCCAAGGUCUGAAUAGUCCUCUCAGACUGACCAUCUGUCUGAGGGUGAAAAGCUGUACUCAACUGCACCUUAGUACCCAUAGCUUCUUGAAAUUUCACCCAAAACCGCGAUGUAAACUGUGGACCUCUAUCAGACACUAUCGAGAUUGGCACUCCAUGCAACCGUACAAUCUCACUAAUAAACAAUUCCGCCAACUUUGCAUAUCCAUAAGUAAUCUUAACUGGCAGAAAAUGGGCUGAUUUGUCAACCUGUCAACAAUCACCCAUAUCGAAUCAUAACCCUCCUGACUCCUAGGCAAUCCUGUCACAAAGUCCAUUGUGAUCCUUUCCCACUUCCAUUCUGGAAUCAACAAUGGUUGUAACAAUCCAGGAGGUUUCUGGUGUUCACCCUUUACCCUCUGACAGGUCAAACACCUAGAAACAAAAUCUGCUACAUCAGCCUUCAUCCUAUUCCACCAAUAACACACCUUAAGGUCUUUAUACAUCUUGGUGGAACCUGGAUGCAUUGUGUAAACUGUCUGAUGUGCCUCUAUCAUCAAUUCUCUCCUCAGAUCAUCAACAUCAGGUACACAAAGCCUAUCCCUAUAUCUCAGCACAUCAUCAUCACCAAUCACAAAACUUGCAGCCUUACCCUGCUCAACCUCAUUUCUAAUCCUGAGUAGUGAAUCAUCUUUCUUCUGAGCUGCUUUUAUCUUAUCAAACAAAUCUGACUUAACCUGAAAAUGAGCAAUCAUUGCUCCAGCUUCACUAAGAUCAAAUCUGACUCCUUCAUCCACUAACUCAUGCAGCUCCCUAAUCAGAGGUCUUCGUACCUCCUGAAUAUGAGCUAAGCUCCCUGAUGAUUUUCUACUCAAAGCAUCGGCAACUACAUUUGCCCUACCCGGGUGGUACUGUAUGGUACAAUCAUAAUCCUUCAGUAGUUCCAUCCAUCUCUCUGCCUCAGGUUUAGAUCCUCUGCUGAAAGAUGUAUUUCAAACUCUUGUGAUCUGUAAAGAUCUCACAAGUUUCACCAUACAAGUAGUGCCUCCAAAUCUUCAAAGCAAAAAUUACAGCCGCCAUCUCUAAAUCAUGUGUAGGAUAGUUCUGUUCAUGCUUCUUCAGCUGCCGUGAAGCAUAGGCAAUAACCUUGCCAUGCUGCAUUAGAACACAUCCUAACCCCACUCUCGAAGCAUCACAAUACACUGUGUAACCACCAGAACCUGAUGGUACUGCUAGAAUAGGCGCUGUAGUCAAUCUCUCCUUCAACUCUAAGAAACUUUUCUCACAAGCUUCAGACCACUGAAACUUAACAUUUUUCUGCGUUAACUUAGUCAAUGGUGCAGAAAUUCGAGAAAAGUUCUCCACAAACCUCCGAUAGUAGCCGGCCAAACCUAAGAAACUUCUAAUCUCUGUCGCCGAAGUAGGCCUAAGCCACUGCUUAACUGCUUCAAUCUUUUGAGGAUCAACCUCAAUCCCAUUCCUUGACACUACAUGCCCAAGAAAUGCUACACUCUCCAACCAAAACUCACUCUUUGAGAACUUGCCAUACAACUGAUGAUCUCGCAGAGUUUGAAGCACCAUUCUCAAAUGCUGCUCAUGCUCCUCUCUAGACCUCGAAUACACCAAAAUAUCAUCAAUAAAAACUAUCACAAAUCGAUCAAUAAAUUGGCCAAACACUCUAUUCAUCAAGUCCAUAAAAGCUGCUGGUGCAUUCGUCAACCCAAAAGACAUCACUAAAAACUCAUAAUGACCAUACCGAGUUCUAAAAGCUGUCUUUGAAAUGUCCUCCUCCCUAAUCCUCAACUGAUGAUACCCAGAUCGAAGAUCGAUCUUAGAAAAGAAUUGAGCUCCCUGUAACUGAUCAAACAAAUCAUCUAUACGAGGGAGUGGGUAUCUAUUUCGAACUGUCACCCGAUUCAAUUGCCUAUAAUCUAUACACAACCUCAAUGACCCAUCUUUCUUCUUCACAAACAACACCGGAGCUCCCCAAGGGGACACACUUGGUCGGAUGAACUUUUUAUCCAAUAAAUCCUGCAGCUGCUCCUUUAACUCCCUCAAUUCUGCUGGCGCCAUUCUAUAUGGUGCCAUUGAUAUUGGUUCAGUGCCCGGAACCAAAUCAAUACAAAACUCAAUCUCCCUAUACGGAGGCAAUCCAGGUAAGUCAUCGGAAACAUCGAUAAACUCUCUUACUAUAGGGACUUCCUCUAACUGGGAACUUCUUUCUCUACAUCCACUAUAUAUGCUAGGUAGCACUGUACCCCUUUUCGGGCCAUUUUCCUCAAGAUAGCCGACAACAUAAUUGAUGGAGACCCAAUCUUAUCUCCUUGAAAUACUAACCCAACUUCUUGAUCUAGAUCAAACAUUAUUUUCUUACCCCAACAAUUUACCGAAGCCCUAUGCUUAGCCAACCAAUCCAUUCCCAAAAUCACAUCAAAAUCAACCAUAUCUAAGACAUUUAAGUCUCCCAUAAAGAUCUUAUCUCCAAUCUCUAUUUCACAAUCCAGAUACACAUACUUUACUAAUAUUAACUCAUCUAAGGGAGUGGAGACUGAAAUGGGGGAUUUUAACAAGGUUGGUUGUUUAUCUAACCUCAUGACAAAAUAUAGGGACACAAACGAAUGAGUUGCACCUGUAUCAAACAAAACUUUUGCUUCAAAAGAUCAAACAGGAACAACAUGUUGAGGUGUGGAUGUAUUGCCCUACCUCCUAUACCUUGCAUUUCUAAACUUCACAAUAUGGACAUCAUCUUUAUUAUCAUUUACUCGAAUACUAUCAGUUGUUCUUCUAUUCCUCGGCAUUUCCUAAAAUAAAAGAGAGAUCACUUAAGUCAUGCUAGAACAAUAGCAUGAUAAUUAUCACAGAAUUUUAGGAAAGCAUAUCUAUCACAAGGAAGAAGACAUACUUGAUGAGAAUUUAAAAUUUCAAAAACAACAAACAAGACGAUACGGAUCCUAAUGCUCCACUUAUUAUGAAAUUAAUUAUAUUAUUGUUUCUUUAACCUAAAGCUCUGAUACCAAGUUUGUCACGACCCGAAUCCCGGAUCCAUGACCGGCACAUAGGCAAGGUUCCCCUCCAAGGUUCCAAACCUAUGCGAACCCAAACUUACAUACAAUCCUUUAAACAACUCAAUCAGAGUUUAACGCAGAAUUAACAACAAACAACUUCAUAAUAUAAUUCGAUUGUCUUAAUACAAGAGUUAAUAUCAUUUCAUAGUUUUGGAGCACUAACUUGACACAAAAGAAGGUACAAAUUACAACCAAAAGGCAGGUUCGGAAGGUUCAACAAAAGUAACCUGCUAUCAAGCUAUAAGCCUGAAAAGGAUAAAUAAUGAGAGGGUGAGUUCAACAACUCAGUGAGUAGAUAACGUUCAAUAUACACACACGAGGUAAUAUAACAAUGAGAAAUAUAUAUAUACAAGUAUGGCUUUAGUUCUUAUACGAAGGUUUAUCAAAUAGGCCAUAACAAGAAUAUCAUAUGGUAAAACUUGUCAGAAAAUCAAAAUGCAAUGAGCAUGAGGCUCCGUACUGUGGGAUGAUCAGUCCACACAGGUUGGUGACUCCCCCGACCAACUAGGGUUCAGAUACGAUGUGCACAAAGACUAACACUACCCUGUUAGCAUGGGUAUUCUGACUGACAUACCAUAGGUUCAUAAUCAUAAUCAAACAAACAUAUUCAUAUCUCAAAGCUCAACUCAUGACAUCCAUCAAAUGAGGAGCUAUCAAUUCAGAAGUCAAAUCAUAUUGGUUCAUAUCAAGAAAUCAGAUUCA